UACGUUGACACUACCGCACGCCGGUUGC
RNAcentral lists this non-coding RNA (28 nucleotides) under Bombyx mori (domestic silkworm). The record is from RNAcentral. Lineage: Eukaryota; Metazoa; Arthropoda; Insecta; Lepidoptera; Bombycidae.